Molecule: transfer RNA, 77 nt
Filed under: Escherichia coli 53638
Lineage: Bacteria; Pseudomonadati; Pseudomonadota; Gammaproteobacteria; Enterobacterales; Enterobacteriaceae
Description: tRNA-Gln
Rfam family: tRNA
About the family: Transfer RNA (tRNA) molecules are approximately 80 nucleotides in length.
Source: RNAcentral
UUGGGGUAUCGCCAAGCGGUAAGGCUCCGGUUUUUGAUACCGGCAUUCCCUGGUUCGAAUCCAGGUACCCCAGCCAU